RNAcentral lists this unclassified non-coding RNA (252 nucleotides) under Pinguicula variegata. RNAcentral describes it as "ITS1". The record is from RNAcentral. Lineage: Eukaryota; Viridiplantae; Streptophyta; Magnoliopsida; Lamiales; Lentibulariaceae.
UCGAAAUCUGCAAUAAAUAGACUGUGAACAUGUUCCCACCUCACGGGAGUCCCGGCGGGCAGGACACGCCCCUCCCGUCGGAGCCCCACCCCCGUCGUGUCCUCGUGCGAGCGAGCAUGCUCGGCGGGGCAACAAACCCACGGCGCGGAACGGCCCAAGGAUCACAAUGGUGGAACGCACCCCCGACAUGCCCCCGUACGUGGUGUGUCAUGCGGGGGAUGUGUAUCCCUGGAUUGAAUAGUACCAUAAAAC